This 460-nucleotide ribosomal RNA is filed under the name uncultured bacterium. RNAcentral describes it as "partial 16S ribosomal RNA". It matches the Rfam family "Bacterial small subunit ribosomal RNA", at positions 338 to 795 of the family's 1533-position model. The record is from RNAcentral.
CCUACGGGUGGCAGCAGUGAGGAAUAUUGGUCAAUGGACGAGAGUCUGAACCAGCCAAGUAGCGUGAAGGAUGACUGCCCUAUGGGUUGUAAACUUCUUUUAUAUGGGAAUAAAAUGUUCCACGUGUGGGAUUUUGUAUGUACCAUAUGAAUAAGGAUCGGCUAACUCCGUGCCAGCAGCCGCGGUAAUACGGAGGAUCCGAGCGUUAUCCGGAUUUAUUGGGUUUAAAGGGAGCGUAGGUGGAUUGUUAAGUCAGUUGUGAAAGUUUGCGGCUCAACCGUAAAAUUGCAGUUGAAACUGGCAGUCUUGAGUACAGUAGAGGUGGGCGGAAUUCGUGGUGUAGCGGUGAAAUGCUUAGAUAUCACGAAGAACUCCGAUUGCGAAGGCAGUUCACUGGACUGCAACUGACACUGAGGCUCGAAAGUGUGGGUAUCAAACAGGAUUAGAUACCCUUGUAGCC